Molecule: regulatory RNA element, 39 nt
Organism: Virgibacillus sp. SK37
Lineage: Bacteria; Bacillati; Bacillota; Bacilli; Caryophanales; Bacillaceae
Rfam family: Ribosomal protein L19 leader
About the family: This family is a putative r-protein leader autoregulatory structure found in B. subtilis and other low-GC Gram-positive bacteria.
Source: Rfam
ACGAUGUUCCGCUGUCACUUAGAGAGAUAUGAGCAUUGG